RNAcentral lists this ribosomal RNA (253 nucleotides) under uncultured bacterium. RNAcentral's name for it is "partial 16S ribosomal RNA". It matches the Rfam family "Bacterial small subunit ribosomal RNA", at positions 524 to 776 of the family's 1533-position model. The record is from RNAcentral.
UACGGAGGGUGCAAGCGUUAUCCGGAUUCACUGGGUUUAAAGGGUGCGUAGGCGGGUUGGUAAGUCCGUGGUGAAAUCCCCAAGCUUAACUUGGGAACUGCCGUGGAUACUAUCAAUCUUGAAUAUCGUGGAGGUAAGCGGAAUAUGUCAUGUAGCGGUGAAAUGCUUAGAUAUGACAUAGAACACCAAUUGCGUAGGCAGCUUACUACACGAUCAUUGACGCUGAGGCACGAAAGCGUGGGGAUCAAACAGG